Molecule: long non-coding RNA, 529 nt
Filed under: Chloebia gouldiae (Gouldian finch)
Lineage: Eukaryota; Metazoa; Chordata; Aves; Passeriformes; Passeridae
Description: Erythrura gouldiae (Gouldian finch) lncRNA (ENSEGOG00005007450.1)
Source: RNAcentral
AGAGCCCUCUGCACUCUGGGACAGGGACAGGAGCCAGGGCACGGCUGGAGCUGGGCCAGGGCAGCUCAGGCUGGAGAGCAGGAAAGGUUCUUCCCCCAGAGGUGCUGGCACUGCCCAGGCUCCCCAGGGAAUGGGCACGGCCCCGAGGCUGCCAGAGCUCCAGGAGCCUUUGGGCAGCGCUGCCAGGGAUGCCCAGGGUGGGGUUGUCUGGGGUCUGGGCAGGGCCAGGGGCUGGGCUGGGUGAUCCUUGGGGUCCCUUCCAGCCUAGGACAGUCUGUGAUUCCAGGAUUCCUCUUGCAGGGUGCAGAUGGUGCCCCUGGGGUGAGGGGACAGCUGGGACAGGAGGGCCCUGGGGGUUUUCUUGGCCUGCCAGGUGCAAAAGGCACCCAAGGAGAGCAGGGCUGCCGAGGUCCAGGUGGAGCCAAGGGAGAUUUGGGAGCCAAAGGAGGCAAGGUACCAAUUCCCAAGCCUGUGGUUUCUCCAAAUGCCACCUGGAGGUCUCUGGUCACCCUGGGGAGGGGACAGGGAG